GAAAUGCGAUAAGUAAUGUGAAUUGCAGAAUUCAGUGAAUCAUCGAAUCUUUGAACGCACCUUGCGCUCCUUGGUAUUCCUUGGGGCAUGCCUGUUUGAGUAUCAUGAAAUCUUCAAAGUAAAUCUUUUGUUAACUCAAUUGGUUUCUACUUUGGUAUUGGAGGUCUUUGCAGCUUCACACCUGCUCCUCUUUGUUCAUUAGCUGGAUCUCAGUGUUAUGCUUGGUUCCACUCGGCGUGAUAAGUUAUCUAUCGCUGAGGACACUGUAAAAGGUGGUCAAGGUAAAUUCAGAUGAACCGCUUCUAAUAGUCCAUUGACUUGGACAAUACUUUUAUGAUCUGAUCUCAAAUCAGGUAGGACUACCCGCUGAACUUAAGC
This 378-nucleotide unclassified non-coding RNA is filed under the name plant metagenome. RNAcentral's name for it is "partial contains 5.8S ribosomal RNA, internal transcribed spacer 2, and large subunit ribosomal RNA". The stretch from base 1 to 105 matches the Rfam family "5.8S ribosomal RNA", at positions 50 to 154 of the family's 154-position model. The record is from RNAcentral.